GACAGAGGGUGCAAACGUUGUUCGGAAUUACUGGGCGUAAAGCGCGUGUAGGCGGCUAAGUAAGUCGGGCGUGAAAUCCCACGGCUCAACCGUGGAAGUGCACUCGAAACUGCAUAGCUAGAGUCCUGGAGAGGAAGGUGGAAUGCUUGGUGUAGAGGUGAAAUUCGUAGAUAUCAAGCGGAACACCAGUGGCGAAGGCGACUCUUUGGCCUGAAACUGACGCUGAGGCGCGAAAGCGUGGGGAGCAAACAGG
RNAcentral lists this ribosomal RNA (253 nucleotides) under uncultured bacterium. Its description in RNAcentral is "partial 16S ribosomal RNA". It matches the Rfam family "Bacterial small subunit ribosomal RNA", at positions 524 to 776 of the family's 1533-position model. The record is from RNAcentral.